AAGCCUAACACAUGCAAGUCGAACGGACAAUUAUUUAUAGCCUCUGGCUAUAGGAAAUUGUUAGUGGCAGACGGGUGAGUAAUGCGUAGGAAUCUACCUAGUAGUACGGAAUAGCCAUUAGAAAUGGUGGGUAAUACUGUAUAAUCCCCGAGGGGGAAAGAUUUAUCGCUAUUAGAUGAGCCUACGUUAGAUUAGCUAGUUGGUGAGGUAAUGGCUUACCAAGGCUAUGAUCUAUAGCUGGUCUGAGAGGACGAUCAGCCACACUGGAACUGAGAUACGGUCCAGACUCCUACGGGAGGCAGCAGUGGGGAAUAUUGGACAAUGGGCGAAAGCCUGAUCCAGCUAUGCCGCGUGAGUGAAGAAGGCCUUCGGGUUGUAAAACUCUUUCAAUAGGGAAGAUAAUGACGGUACCUAUAGAAGAAGUCCCGGCAAACUCUG
RNAcentral lists this ribosomal RNA (438 nucleotides) under Ehrlichia canis. Its description in RNAcentral is "bacterial SSU rRNA". It matches the Rfam family "Bacterial small subunit ribosomal RNA", at positions 44 to 505 of the family's 1533-position model. Lineage: Bacteria; Pseudomonadati; Pseudomonadota; Alphaproteobacteria; Rickettsiales; Anaplasmataceae. The record is from RNAcentral.